UACACCUACGGGGGGCAGCAGUAGGGAAUCUUCCACAAUGGGCGAAAGCCUGAUGGAGCAACGCCGCGUGGGUGAAGAAGGUCUUCGGAUCGUAAAACCCUGUUGUUAGAGAAGAAAGUGCGUGAGAGUAACUGUUCACAUUUCGACGGUAUCUAACCAGAAAGCCACGGCUAACUACGUGCCAGCAGCAGCGGUAAUACGUAGCUGGCAAGCGUUAUCAGGAUUUAUUGGGCGUAAAGGGAACGCAGGCGGUCGUUUCAGUCUGAU
This 267-nucleotide ribosomal RNA is filed under the name uncultured bacterium. RNAcentral describes it as "partial 16S ribosomal RNA". It matches the Rfam family "Bacterial small subunit ribosomal RNA", at positions 334 to 593 of the family's 1533-position model. The record is from RNAcentral.